CCUACGGGAGGCAGCAGUGAGGAAUAUUGGUCAAUGGGCGCGAGCCUGAACCAGCCAAGUCGCGUGAGGGAAGACGGUCCUAUGGAUUGUAAACCUCUUUUGCCGGGGAGCAAAAGACGCCACGCGUGGCGUUCCGAGAGUACCCGAAGAAAAAGCAUCGGCUAACUCCGUGCCAGCAGCCGCGGUAAUACGGAGGAUGCGAGCGUUAUCCGGAUUUAUUGGGGUUAAAGGGUGCGCAGGCGGAAGAUCAAGUCAGCGGUAAAAUUGAGAGGCUCAACCUCUUCGAGCCGUUGAAACUGGUUUUCUUGAGUGAGCGAGAGGUAUGCGGAAUGCGUGGUGUAGCGGUGAAAUGCAUAGAUAUCACGAAGAACUCCGAUUGCGAAGGCAGCAUGCCGGCGCUCAACUGACGCUGAUGCACGAAAGUGUGGGUAUCGAACAGGAUUAGAUACCCUUGUAGUC
This 459-nucleotide ribosomal RNA is filed under the name uncultured bacterium. Its description in RNAcentral is "partial 16S ribosomal RNA". It matches the Rfam family "Bacterial small subunit ribosomal RNA", at positions 338 to 795 of the family's 1533-position model. The record is from RNAcentral.